RNAcentral lists this long non-coding RNA (11976 nucleotides) under Populus tremula. RNAcentral describes it as "long non-coding RNA (PTRE_LNC002320)". Lineage: Eukaryota; Viridiplantae; Streptophyta; Magnoliopsida; Malpighiales; Salicaceae. The record is from RNAcentral.
CUGAUCAUAAGCAUUGUUGCUGUAGUAGUUGGUGUUUGUGUUGGUGGUUGUGUCAGUUGGAUAAUUGGUGUAGCUUUCUUGGUUUUGGUUUUGGGUCUUGUAUGGCUGGUAAGUGGUAGUAGUGUAGGGUGCAUUAGCUAGCUUAGUGGUGGUGGGGAACUGGGUGGAUUCUUGACCAUAUAGACCAUAACCAUUUUGGUUGUCUGGGAUGAAGGCUGGAUCUUGUUCUUGCUUGCUCAACCCUUCUUCUUUUUCUUUGCUGGGGAGUGUUUUAUCUUGAGCGUUAUCGUUGCUGAUGGUGGUAGUGGAGGGAGUGGUGGCGGUGGCGCCACUGACUUUGCUAAAGAACUGGCUCUCUCUGGCAUGGAUUUGCACAGAUAAAAUGGCUAGGAGGAAGAGAAAGGAAAUGAGUCUUGGAGAGGGAGCCAUGGCUAAAGAAAGGAUGGCUAAAGAAAUCCCCAGCGAAGUCGCCAUCCUGUCGCACCCCAAAAAAAAAUCCUGCGCGCGGCAUCGGCUGGCGAUUUUUCAUCGUUUUGUUGCGUUUGCUUUGAAUUUGUUCGUUGGAGUCGCCACCUAGUAAUUCAUUGAGGGCUACUAGGAAACCUGAUGUACUGGUCUUGUCAGAGAUCGCGGGUAAGGGACUGGUUGUGGUUAGGGAAGGUAUUAGCACCCCUAACACACCCUACCUAAGGUAAGCUGCAUUGUGUUCUAAUGUGAUUUGAAAAUUUAAAAUAUUAAUUAAAUUCUAAGGCUUGAAUAAAUUAGUUAUUAAAUCCCCGAAUAUAUGUAAAAACUUGUUCUUACAUUUUCAUGGAAAAUACAACUUGAUUUUAUUUGUCCUUGAGAUAUUUAACCAUACUUAAGAAAAUUUAAAAUAUUAAUUAAAUUCUAAGGCUUGAAUAAAUCAGUUAUUGAAUCCCCGAAUAUAUGUAAAAAACUUGUUCUUACAUUUUCGUGGAAAAUACAACUUGAUUUUAUUUAUCCUUAAGAUAUUUAAUCAUAUUUAAUAUAACAAUUAAUUCUUUUUAUCCUUCUUUUAUUUUUACAAUUUAAUAACAUAAAUAAAAAUACAAACAAGCACACAUCUCUUUUUAUUAUUUACUUUCUUUUAUUUUCUUUUUUUUUUCCAAAUUUACAAAAUAUAAAUUACAACAAAAACAAAAACAAAAGCAACUAAACCAAAUAUUACAUUAAAAUUACAAAAUAAACCUUAAAAAAAAUAGAAUCAGAAACAGUGCAGCACGGGAACAGGCUUCUGGGUUUGAAAACAGUGGCGGCGCGUCUCUUCCACACGCCACCGUCACUGGCGGCGCGUGGGUUCACGCGCCGCUGCAAAAAUCCCACACAAACACAGGGGUCUUUAACAGCCCCAUCCCCUCUUCCACCGGUGGUAACCUGCAAAGAAAAAUCAAAGCACAAAGCCAGUUGAUUUUAGUUAUUUUUCAAUCCCUGUUUUCGGAUCUGCUUCUCCUCUGUUUUCUUCAAAUCUACCGAAUCUGAAGCUGGGCGUUACACGCGCCGCCGAUGACAGGUCAGGCAUGUGGAUGGCAGGAUCGGCAACUUCCAUCUUCCUCCUUCAUUUCUAUACCGGCGGUGUCGCCCACUGCAGCCACGGUUGGGAGAUCGGCGCGCCUUUCAAGUCUCGGUUUCUUGCUCCCUUCUACUGUCCUUCGGUUGGUUUUCCUUCUGCGAUGGCCGAUCUGGUGGCUGGAGUCUCUCUUCUUCUUCUCCGCUUCAGGUGGCUGGAGGGGUCUGCUUGUCCGGUGCUGGAGGAAGCUGGUUGAAGGAACCACCGAAGAAGAGGCUGCUGAGGGAGGGGGUUCGGCGUUGAUGGGUGAAGGAGCAGCCGCAGGGAAGAGGCUGAGGGGGGUGGCUGCGUUCGGCUGAGGGAGGAGAAAAUGGUGAAGGGGAAGGCUAAAAGAAAUACAGCAAAAGGGGCGGUCGGUUGAGGGAGAAGAAAAAUGAAAAUCAGGGGAUUGUGGGAGUAAAAAAUUUCAAAACAGGGGAAGGGGCUGGUUCGGUUUACAUGGCAAGGUGGCCGGUUCCAAGAGAAAGGAGAAAGGAGAAAGGGAGGGCUGCCGUGUGUGAGAGCUGGUAGUAAAAAAAAAUCCCAGCCGGGGGAGAAGGAGAAAAUUCAACAGGGGCUGGGAAUUGUGGGUCUCUGCCCACUGCUCUUGGGACCCGGCGAAAAUGGCUCCAACGUCUCCCCCCUCUUGCAAAGCUGGGAAUAAGAAGAAAUAUGAGUUUUUUUCAUUAUGAGGAGGGUCACCAUGUCGGCGGGAAACAAGGAAAAGAGGACCAUGGGUGGGGUUGAGCUGCUUAAUUUUUAGCCGAGAGAGGUAUUAAAUAAUGGUACUGGGCCAGGGGCAACGGCUAGUUUCGGGUGAAGAGAAAAAAAAAUUCUUAGGUUCCCCUCCUUCCAAAAUUCAAAAUUCCCUUAGGCAAAAAUAUUGUUUCGGCCUCAAAAUUGGUCCCUUAAUUUUCUUUUUUUUUGUAAAAUUUGAUUUUUCUUGUUUUUUUGUAUUUUUUUGAAAACGAGCAAUAUCAACGUCGACUCAAAUACGGAAAAUCAAUUAUUUUAAAAAUGACGCGUGAAAAGUCGAACGCGUUCGAAAGACCCUUAAAAAUUUUAAAAAAAAAAAAAUUUUAAAAAAAAAUUGAAAACGACGUUGAAAAUGCUAAAAUGACGAAAAUAUAUUAAAAACAUAUUUUUUUGGAUUUUCUUUGUUUUUCUCUAUUUUUGGAUUUUUUUGAAAAUAUAUCAAAAACAUGGGUCAAAAAUUGGGUAGCAACAAUCAUAAUUUGCAUUAAAACCAGCAAAACCAUAAUUAGCUUUAACUAUUUGCUACGGCCUAACUGGAGCUGCAAACACGACUAAGAACGAUUCGUACCAGGAAGAAGCGUGAAAGAUUCGCUCUUCAGCUGCGCCAUGAAAGCAAGAUUGUCUAAGCACUUUCUUGCAGAUGCGAUGGAAGACCUGAAGAACAUGCCUCGUGAGCAAACGCUCUUAUGGAGCUAAUUCAGCAACGUGCGUGAAUCCUUUGCCAAUAGACCAGCCUAUGAAGACCCAUGAUGCCAGCCAAGAUUGUAAAAGUUCCUGAUAUAAUUACCAGUGCCUGUAACUUCAAAAGAUCGUUCCCGGAGACACCCACCGGCCACCAGCAUGGUGUUUCAAAAGUACAACCAUGCAUUUUUAUACAUAAGAAAAAGAAUACCGUGUUAUUUUCAUUCAAAUUGACACUCUCUUGUUAGUUCGAAUUCUAUCACUCAAUUAUCAUAGAAUAUCAUAUAAUUUACGAUUACAGGAAAGAGCCUAACCCUUAUGCUAUUUGAUUUUAUUUAGAUUUAUUUGUUGGGUUUUAUAUAAAUAUAAUUGGAUAUGUUAUUUUAUCGGAAAUAAGCUGAAUUGUUUGUUCUUAUUAAAGUUUUAGUAUUUUCAUGUUAUUUUUUAAAAUUGUCAGAUAAUUUUUUAUUAUUUAAUUAAAAUAAAAUAUUAUUUUUCCUUUGAAUAUUCUUUUUUUUUUCUACUUUUAAUUCUUAGCAUUUUCUUUUAUUUCUCUAAUUUAUUUUUUUUAGUUUAUUGUCCCGUGUCAAGUAUGAACAUAAACUUCUAAUUGUUUUUAUAGUUAAUUGAUCUGACUUCCAAAUCUUCAAAAUUCAACACAGUUUCCAAUCCUUGACAAUUUUGAGGAUGAUCAUCAAUAAUGAUUAAAAAUAAAUAAACUCACCGCCCCACUGCCCAGAACCGAAACCAAAUGUCCUUUUAUUUCCUUCGACAGACAACACCAGAAACCUAUAUACUUUUUCUCAUUCUUUUCCAAACAAAAAGAAAAAAGGUGCAACAGAAGGCUUUGGCACAUAAAUUUGCAGACUACAGUGGGAAUAUCUACCAUCCCAGAUUUAACAAGAUGACGAUGGAAGGUGAUGCGUAUAGUCAAGCCUGGGACUAAAUGCAAUGGCAGGAACAACUCGUGUCUCUCUAGCACUCCACCCAUCAAACUUUGAUUGAGAGACAGACGCCAAGAAGAAUUAAAAUGACUGGGAGAGUCCACUGCCUUUUUAGUAUUUCUCUUUGUUCAGGUGUGCUUUUAUUUUAAAUUAAUUUGUUCAAAAAAAAGUGUGAAAAAAGUGCAAAAUGACAUAAAAGAUAUAUAUAUAUAUAUAAAAAAGGAGUGAAAAGUGACAGUAGAACAUUAUGACUUUAUUUAAUUAAUUAUUUGUACUUCGUGGUCUAACAUUGCAUGAUUAAAAAUUUUCAAGUAUUUUUUUUUCUUGAUUAAUUUUCAUAUUAAAAAAAAUAGUUUUAUUUUUGUAUUGUAAUUUUACUUGCAAAAUUCGUAUGUGAUCUCGAUUCUAUUUAUAAUUUAGUAUUGCAUAUAUUUGUGUCAUGAUUAUCUAGUGUUAAACCUUAAGUCUACACUUACCAUGAACCCACUCUUAGUUAUACUCUCGAGGUCAUUUGAGAGAAACUGCAACCUCAAAUGACUAAUAUGUCUAAAAGAGUUGAAACACUAGAGAGUUCUCGAAUAAAGCAUCCAAAAAUCAGGAAAAAUCAUAGCUAUAAUUAUUAUGGGCAAGUUCACAUUGAGUGUUGUCAAUAUGACUAUCAUUUAGUUUACUUUACAUGUGAUGACCUUGAUGAGCAUGUCAUGAGCUUUAAGAAAAAUGAAGCUUAACUUUUAACGGUCAUCAUAACUCUUGGGUCUUUGAUAUGUGAAUUUGUGAUGAUGAUUAAUUCUUUGAUUGACACAACUUGUCUAAUAAUAGAAGAGUUAAAUUUGUUAAGAUGGUACUUGUUGGUGAAGCUCAACUUUAAUAGAGAAAUGUUAAGGAUUGUUUAGAGAUGAGAGGUAAACCUCUGGUAACUAAUUGGACUAAAAUGAAACAAAAACUACAGGAGAAGUAAUUACCUCAAUCUUAUAGAAAUAAACUCUUGUACCAAUGGAACAAUCCAAGGCAAUGAAAGAAGUAUGUCAAUGAGUAUAUAACACAAUUUAAUGAUUACAUGAUAAGAAGUGUCAUAAAAUAAAAUAAAACCAUGACUUUGCAUAGGUUUUGUAAAUAUCUGAAUGAUGAUUUUAGAAAAGAAGUCAUACUUAUAUGUGUCUUCAUUCACUCUUGACCAAGCCUAUAUUGUAGUACAAAAUUAUGAGUUGCUUAUAAAUAGUUAACGGACAAAACAUUAAAACCCUUUAAAACCCUUUUUAGAUCUCAAUUUAGAAAUAAUAGUUAUUUAUUAGGUACUCCAUCUUAUAGACCUAAUCCUACUAAUGCCCAAGUUUAUAAAUAAAAUAAGGGAAUAUGAGUCGUUAAUGAAAUUUAUAGGUUAAGUUUAAAGUUCUAAUGUGCUAAAUAUCAAGGUUUCGAUCAUAUUUUCGUUAAUUUUAUCUCUAAACCCUUAAUCAUCCAAAAAUAUAAGAAUAUAGGUGGAAAGUAAGACUAUUAUGUGCAAGUGUAUGAACUCUAUCCUGAAGACUUUAGCGACCUAGAUGAAGAAAAUGUACAAGAAGAGGAAUUUAACAAUAUAAGUUCAAAUAAUUUUAAAGACUCAAUAGUUAGUACUAAAAUGAUGAAUAUAGUUUUCAAGAGUAUUAUACACAUCUAAAAGAAAGGUUAAUAAAUAAUAUAAUAAUUAUGCUUUAAUGGUAAAGAAAUAAAUUUUACGAAACUCUUUAAUGAAAUCACCCGAAGAGGCAAUUAUGGUCUUCAAAAAUUCUUAUGAUAUUAAUCCUUUUAAACUACCUAAUUCCCCCAUCAACCAUGCUUGAUGUCCAGCACAUCAUCGAUUUAGAUCAAAAUGUUGAGUUUUUUUUAUCUCUAACCCCCGACACGUGAUGAGGAAGAUGAAGAUAAUCAUAAUUUACUAGGUUAUGUCCAAACUAUAUGUAUUAAGACUUUGAAUAGUGUUUGUUCCAUUUCACACCUUUAGUCAUAUAGUGUUCAUAAUUGCGAAUCUAGAAAGCUUGUAGAUUUUCUUUCUAUGUCUCCUCACGUUAAAAUUUCUGAUUCAACUAAGUCUUUUGUAUAUAGAGUUCAUAAUUUGUAUGUUGAGAUCAUUGAGCAAAUUCAAGUAAGUAAUGAACAAUACACAUUUCAAGCUGAUUUGCAUAAGUAUCAUAAUAUACUUAAUGUUUGAGAUUAUUUCAUUAUACAGAUUAAACUUGAACAGUUUUCUUUGAAAACCAUUUAUAAAUUGCAAGUGAGUAGUGCUAGACCAUUCAAAGUGUUGUGAAUGAUUGAAUCAUAUACUUAUGUUAUUAAAUUGUCACUAAACUUUGAUAUUAGCUCUACUUUUGACAUGAAAGAGCUUGUUAUAUAUAAAACACAACAACUUAUCCAUGAUACUCUUUUUGAUGUCCCUAUCGUAUUAUCCUUAUCAUUGGAACAAAAGAAACAUAUCAAUGUUGUUUUGGAUGCACAAGUUGUUUUUAUCAAGAAUGGUGAAGUUCAGUGAAUCCUGGUAUAUGAGUUAAGCGACUAGAUUUAGAUUGUACUUGGAUUACCAGAGAGAUAUCAUAGCAGCUUGAUCCUUAUUUUUUAGAGCGUUAUCGAAGCUGUCUUGACCUAUACUCGACGGGGUUAAGUUUUUCCAAUCUCGAAAGAGUUAAUAAAGACAUCAAACUCAAUGCAUGGUUCACAUGUCAAGACAUCUAUGAUAAUAAAAGAUAAUCCAAGUCUUGUGCUAUUAGAUUUUAUUCAGAUUUAUUUCUUAAAUUUAAUUUAAAUGUUAUUGAAUAUUUUAUUUGGUGGACUAUAAACUCAAUUAUUUAUUCUAAUUAGAGUUAUAGCAUUUAUAAGUUAUUUUUAAAAAUAUUAGAUGUUUUAUAUGAUUUAAUUAAAAUAACAUACUAUUUUUUUUUCUGAUUUCUCUAUUUUUCCUAGCUUUUCUUUCCUUGCUUUUAAUCUUGGCUUCUUUUUUUCUUUUUCUACUUUCAUCUUUCUUUAGUUUAUUGUCCCACAUCAUGGAGUUAUGAUGUAGGAUUCUGCAAGAAAUACCAAGAAUUUUAAUUUUAAUUAUGGAUGAUAGCGAGAACAAACUGGUUACAGUCUAGGCUCUUCAUCAUUCAAUAAAAUGAUCUACAUGAAGUGAACUCGACUCCAUUUGAUAGAUUUGGUUCAAGCGAGUGAUUUAUAGCUGCAAAAAAACUAUUCCUUUUAUGCUUUUCUUUGACCACCCAAAUUGCCAAUCAAACUAUCCAGGAUCAUAAACUCCAUCUUGAUUUCAAGUGGGGGCAGUGUCAUCAGACCAACUGGCAAUUGGUCUCUGAUCCUCGGUAACUAAAUUUUCGACUGCCAGUAAUUGUCAACAAACAGAGGAACAAGUAUUGUUGCUCCGACAGUACUUUUAACAGCAGAAAUAGUACACGCCAAGCACCAAUUGAUUCACACUUGUUUGCAACUCUGUACCCAAUGAGAAAUGAAAGACCACUAUGCAACCCAGAAGCUUGGCUUUUUUUAGGGCACUGAGCCAUCAACCAAGCUCCUCAAAGAUGGCAGCGUGCCAUAUUUCAGAACCAGACCAAUACUCUUCCACACAAAAAUUGUUCGAUCACACCAUGUCGCCUGUUAAAUUUUCAUAAAUUUAUGAGAGGAGAAAUGUUGCAAUGGAUGUCGAUAUAAGAACUCAAGACGCACACGAUGAUGAAAUGUAUUGAAUCCUACCAUUGAGCUUCCAUGAAGAAAAGGAUCCUGAAAUUGGUACUAUUUACUAAGCAAUCAAUACUCAGCUAUAGCCAAACCUUGAAGGAGGUCUUAAGUUUGGAAGCUCUGGUAAAUAAAGUAAUAAAAAUUCAGAUUCGAGGUUUGGAGGAACUCUAGUGUUGCAACAUUUGAAAAGCCUCUAACCAUUCCUAAAUAUUAUUUCCUCUAGAUUGACGAAACUUACUUUGAACGAAGCCAUCCGCCAGCUUAUGUGGAUGAGCAGAUGUUAAUCAUAAGAAUUAAAAAUGUGGAAAGAAGAAGAAUUUACUUGAUAAUCCUCCAGAAUCAUUUGAUCUAUCUUCCUAGCAAGCAUAUGGUGAACCAUAAAAGCAUAAUCUGCAGGUAUUAAGCAAAACUGGAUGCUCAUCUACUAUAGAAAUAAAUAAAUAAACCAAGAAAAAUUAGUACCAUGAAUGAACAAUUCAUCUAGUACUAACAAUCAGUCCAGUUCAGCUGCAGCUCAUCGCCAACUAAUCACCAAUCAAGGUCAAGUCCUGCACCCUCUGGCUUCUCCCAAAAGUGAAACAUCCCUUUCCUCUCUAAACCUGGUGAAGAUGAAGCACAUGCACUACAUGAUGGAUGAAACUUCAUCUGACAUAACAGGGGGAGGAUAAAUCCAGCCAGAUGCCAAUUAUUUAAUUCAUUUUCUGAAUUCUAAACUAAAUUUCUAGGUAAGAAUUCAAAUUUGAAGUUUCCAGCAUUCGCUGAAAAAGAAAAUGUAUCAUCUAAAUAUUGAAGCCCAUUUUAAGACAUAUGCCCCCUGUGGAAACAUUAAGCCUUCAACACCCACUAAUCUGGCUUGAUUCUUCCUGUUACGCACCCGCAUGUGACAUAUGCUACCCAAAAAGCACCGCCAGAAAAUCUUCCCUGGUUGCAGCUUACUAAUUUAAACAUACUAUGUUAAAAUCAUUCAAAUUUUCAAAUCAGAAAUGAAUAGAGAAAUCAUAAUUUCAUGCAGCAUCUCAACUAAAUUGUGCACAUGCUUGGGUAGCCUUUUCAACCGCAUUUUUAAACAAAUAAACCAUCCAAUACUAAUCAUUUCACUCCAAAUAGAACGAUCUACAAAACUUUGUUUGUGGAAGCUUUCAGUUAUGAAAGGUCUUCAGUCAAGUCAGCAAAUUUCAGUUCUAUAAUGGUCAUACAAAAAUUUACAUAAGCAAAAUACAAUCUAGUAUUGAACUUUUAUUUUGACAGUUCCACUUGUAUAAAGUGAGUAAGGCAACACCAAUUAAGAAGAUUACAACUUAUAUUGUGAUUUGUAGAAUCCAAGUUGCUUAUCUUAGUGGCUGCAAGCAUUUGCAUGCUUGAAGACACAAAGACACCCAUAGAUAAGAGAACAAAUUUUAUCAAGUAACAAAAAGAAACACAAGUCAGCCUCAAAAUCAAUAUGAAUAAACAUUCAACCACAUUGAGAUAUAUUAAAACACCUUUUUAAGGAAUAUUGGUUAUACCCAGUCAGUUUAUCAUACACACAUAUUCCUCAUCCAACAAAAGAUGGACAUUUAAUCCUCGGUUCUCCACUAAGAAGUUAAGGAAACAGUUUUGCAUCAAAACACAAGAAUUUUACUAAAAAUUAGUCCAAAAAAGUUUCUUCUCACCAAGCACUGUUAUUACUUGGAAGGAAAUUAUGUAAAAAAGGUGGUAGCAUUUCAGCUAUGGAACUAUCAAAGUAGGGUUCUAGAAGAAAAAAUCUGGAUUGUCUUACCUUAAUGAUUUUUGCACAAGUGGCUGUCCUUAAGACUCAAACCUGCAGUCUUGUGGUAGCAAGCUCAAGAUUUUCACCAUUUCCAUACAACGGUCCCUUGUUUAUAUUGUUCUUAUACUGUUCAUUUGGAAUGCUCUUUAAGACCCAAGAGCAUCAUUUGUGGAAUGAGUGUUAAUACCACACAUGUUAAACCCUGCUGGUUCUUCUGUUCAUAAAAAAAUGCUGUUUCUAAUGCAAUAGCAAGUUCUUUAGCUCAAUGAUAUUAAACUGAUAUUUGCUAGCUAAUAUUCUUGAAUAGUGUGUUAUUAGACAGCAUUUAUAAUGGCCUAAAUGCCUAAGAACAUGAGCCACAAAGAGUAAUAGCAGCAGCAGAUGUGAUGUUAAUGAUGAUGUUCAAACAUUAUAUUCCACUGUCACCAAAAUUGACUAUUUAGUGGGCAGUUUCAAAAGGGAAGAAACUCCCAUGAUCGCCAAACACCAUUCAGCUUCCAGUCGUAUUACACCAAAAAAUCCAUGCUACGGUACAAGUGCCUUUUUAUUUGCAGCUAUCAGUUGAAAACUCUGAUGUUAUCUUUCUGAAAAUUUAAGAUAACAUAUGGAAGUUGCUAGACUAAAAUAAACCUGCUAAACAGGCACGGUGUCGUUGACUUAUGGAAAUUUAGACACUAAGAUUAAAUUGAGCCAUUUCACAAAUUACUGGCAAGAUCUGCCCCAGCAAGCUGAGAAAUACUUUCAAGAGGGGAGACAGGGAUUGACUCUUGCACAAAAGCACAUGUCCCAUCUAGAGAAUGACAAUUACUUGAGUAUCUCCCAUGAUGGAACGACCUUCAGGAACUUGUCCAUCAUGUCACCCAGAGAAGAGAAGUGUAGUUAAACAGGAAAAAAGGAAUCGCUAGUUAUUGAAGUUAGACCUCACUUCUGCAUAGCCUACGACCUUGGGAUUGUGAACAAACUCUGGGAAUUUACACUUUACAUUCUGAAAACAAUCAUUAGACACUACUUAAAAGCAACCACUUGAAGCAAAAAUAUGUAGCUGGAUCAUCAAGCUGAUCUAGAUAUUCAAACUUCAACUAUGAAAGCAAAUACAUGACAGGGAAAAAAAAAUAUAGCCACAAUAUCUUUAACCAUAGGCAAUGAUAUUUCACCAGAGUCAAAACAAAGCAGUAUGAGACAUUAUUGAGACUAUCCUAAGUUUGCACAAUAUAUGCAGGCAGAGUAACAAUAUCCCACUAGAUACCCCUCCUAAUUGACACUCCAGUUCCAGAAGCAGCUUACCAAAAACAGAAAAUUGAUUUGCAUGCAAGUCCAGCUGUUGAGAUGAACAAAAUUGACAUGACCGGGAAAUCAAUUAAAAUCAGCACCCAUUUCCUUGUGUUUCAACUCUAAUGCCAUCCGCUCAUUCUCAAGCUUCAUCCUCUCAUUUUCCAUCCUCAGUUUUUCUAGUUCACGGUCUCUUUUCUUACUAAAUCUUUGCCAUUUGAAUCGCUGUUUUUCCAAUUCCAGCAUCUCUUGUUGAAUUUUUAGAUUCUGUUCUUCCAACUGAAGUGUGCGAGAUUCCAUCCACUGCUUCUGCAACCACGAUGCUCUUGAACUUUCAGGAGAGACUUGAUUCAUAUCAACUUGGGCAAUCUGUGGAUGAGAAUAAGAAGACCCUUUAUUAGGGUCCUGAGAUGAAUUCCCAAAAUAAACAUCUUCAUGGCCCUGGCAUGGUCUCGGUCUCUUUGCAGAACCCCCUAAUACCCCAUGUAUGCCCCUACUAUCCCCAUGGGAAGCAUGAUUCUCCCCAAAUUCAUCAUGAUCAUCAGUUUCAAUCUCUUGAUCAUCUUCAUCAAGAUCAUCACGUUGGUUUCUCCUUACAUCAUCGUUGUCAUGAUCAUCUCUACUUCUUAGAGCCAAUUGUAGGGAACGCUGCAAAGCUGGAUCAUGAGGCAGGUGCAACCUAUUUCCAUUAUGAUAGGAACACAUUUCUUCAUAGAAAAGAUGCUUUGAGCUUAAUAUCUUCCUAACAUCAUCCUUAUCCUUCUCUGUUAAAUAAUCUAUAACAUCUAAAAGUGCAGGGUUUUCCACAACCUGACAAGAAGUGCCCCUCCCAAGCAUAUCAUUGAGCCUUUUAUACCUUUUAUUAAGGUCAUUGAAUUUAUCCUCACACUGCUGUGGAGAAACAUGAAAACCUCUUUCAGCCAUGACUUUUGAAACUGAUUUCCACUUGCCUUUUUUCUGCAAAACUGUGAAUCUCCUACGCAUUCCACCACCACAAUCUGAAGUCGCAUCCUCACCAAUAUAAGACACGGCAGUUAUCAAGAGCCUCACCAUCUUAUCAGUCCACUUAACACGGUGCCACGGAGUCCCUUUUUUCCCUCUUCUUACAUCAUUGUGACCAUCAGCACCUUCUUCGGUGUAGCUUGGCUCAUCCUCAUCACUGACUGAAUUUUUCCUCCCAUCUCCUUUAUUGUAAUCAGUCAUGGACAUGUUUUGAUCAGAGUUGUGCAUGGCCCCCAUUGUGAGUGGAAAACCAUCGUGAACUGAGGGAUGCGUUGAAGAUCCUUGGCGAUGGAUAGGAUGCUGGUGGU